RNAcentral lists this ribosomal RNA (1066 nucleotides) under Lyngbya martensiana MBDU 518. Its description in RNAcentral is "bacterial SSU rRNA". It matches the Rfam family "Bacterial small subunit ribosomal RNA", at positions 241 to 1315 of the family's 1533-position model. The record is from RNAcentral. Lineage: Bacteria; Bacillati; Cyanobacteriota; Cyanophyceae; Oscillatoriales; Microcoleaceae.
UUAGCUAGUUGGUAGGGUAAAAGCCUACCAAGGCGACGAUCGGUAGCUGGUCUGAGAGGAUGGACAUCAGCCACACUGGGAGACUGAGACACGGCCCAGACUCCUACGGGAGGCAAGCAGUGGGGAAUUUUCCGCAAUGGGGCGAAAGCCUGACGGAGCAAGACCGCGUGAGGGAGGAAGGCUCUUGGGUUGUAAACCUCUUUUCUCUGGGAAGAAGCUCUGACGGUACCAGAGGAAUCAGCAUCGGCUAACUCCGUGCCAGCAGCCGCGGUAAUACGGAGGAUGCAAGCGUUAUCCGGAAUUAUUGGGCGUAAAGCGUCCGUAGGUGGCUGUUCAAGUCUGCCGUUAAAACCAGUAGCUUAACUACUGAAUAGCGGUGGAAACUGAAUAGCUAGAGUGUGGUAGGGGUAGAGGGAAUUCCCAGUGUAGCGGUGAAAUGCGUAGAGAUUGGGAAGAACACCGGUGGCGAAAGCGCUCUGCUGGACCACAACUGACACUCACAGGACGAAAGCUAGGGGAGCGAAAGGGAUUAGAUACCCCUGUAGUCCUAGCCGUAAACGAUGGAUACUAGGUGUUGUGAGUAUCGACCCUCACAGUGCCGGAGCCAACGCGUUAAGUAUCCCGCCUGGGGAGUACGCACGCAAGUGUGAAACUCAAAGGAAUUGACGGGGGCCCGCACAAGCGGUGGAGUAUGUGGUUUAAUUCGAUGCAACGCGAAGAACCUUACCAGGACUUGACAUGUCGGGAAUCCUCUUGAAAGGGAGGAGUGCCUUCGGGAGCGCGAACACAGGUGGUGCAUGGCUGUUGUCAGCUCGUGUCGUGAGAUGUUGGGUUAAGUCCCGCAACGAGCGCAACCCUCGUUUUUAGUUGCCAGCAUUAAGUUGGGCACUCUAAAGAGACUGCCGGUGACAAACCGGAGGAAGGUGGGGAUGACGUCAAGUCAGCAUGCCCCUUACGUCCUGGGCUACACACGUACUACAAUGCGACGGACAAAGAGCAGCUAAACAGCGAUGUCUUGCUAAUCUCGUAAACCGUGGCUCAGUUCAGAUUGUAGGCUGCAACUCGC